GAUGAACGCUAGCUACAGGCUUAACACAUGCAAGUCGAGGGGAAACGACAUCGCAAGCUUGCUUUUGAUGGGCGUCGACCGGCGCACGGGUGAGUAACGCGUAUCCAACCUGCCCAUCACUUGGGAAUAACCUUGCGAAAGUAAGACUAAUACCCAAUGAUAUCCCACGAAGGCAUCGGAAUGGGAUUAAAGAUUUAUCGGUGAUGGAUGGGGAUGCGUCUGAUUAGCUUGUUGGCGGGGUAACGGCCCACCAAGGCAACGAUCAGUAGGGGUUCUGAGAGGAAGGUCCCCCACAUUGGAACUGAGACACGGUCCAAACUCCUACGGGAGGCAGCAGUGAGGAAUAGUGGUCAAUGGGCGAGAGCCUGAACCAGCCAAGUAGCGUGCAGGAAGACGGCCCUAUGGGUGGUAAACUGCUUUUAUAAGGGAAUAAAGUGGGUCACGUGUGACUUUUUGCAUGUACCUGAUGAAUAAGGACCGGCUAAUUCCGUG
Molecule: ribosomal RNA, 492 nt
Filed under: uncultured bacterium
Lineage: Bacteria
Description: partial 16S ribosomal RNA
Rfam family: Bacterial small subunit ribosomal RNA
Source: RNAcentral